CCGGUAGUGUACUAAACAGAGUGAGUACGGUAGUGUACUAAACAGAGUGAGUACGGUAGUGUGCUAAACAGAGUGAGUACGGUAGUAAACAGAGUGAGUAGUGCACCAAACAGAGUGAGUAACGGUAUGUACCAAACAGAGUGAGUACGGUAGUGUAGCAAACAGAGUGAGUACGGUAGUGUAGCAAACAGAGUGAGUACGGUAGUGUGCUAAACAGAGUGAGUACGGUAGUGUAGCAAACAGAGUGAGAACGGUAGUGUGCCAAACAGAGUGAGUACGGUAGUGUGCCAAACAGAGCGAGCACGGAACGGCAGCAAACAGAGUGAGCACGGUAGUGUGCCAAACAGAGUGAGCAACGGCAGUGCGCCAAA
This 371-nucleotide long non-coding RNA is filed under the name Salmo salar (Atlantic salmon). RNAcentral's name for it is "lncRNA (ENSSSAG00000110140.1)". The record is from RNAcentral. Lineage: Eukaryota; Metazoa; Chordata; Actinopteri; Salmoniformes; Salmonidae.